This 145-nucleotide small nucleolar RNA is filed under the name Phascolarctos cinereus (koala). RNAcentral's name for it is "Small nucleolar RNA SNORA63 (ENSPCIG00000019510.2)". The record is from RNAcentral. Lineage: Eukaryota; Metazoa; Chordata; Mammalia; Diprotodontia; Phascolarctidae.
AUGCAGGAACUAAUUACAAUAUAGCUGUGAAGUGCUUGUUGUUUCCCCGUUCAAAUAAAAUUUUUUUAUUGUUGUUGUUGUUUUUCAACUAAACUUAUCUGUUUUGUUAUAGGUCAUCCAGCCAGGUACCCUUGAUCUCACAUAG